Molecule: ribosomal RNA, 1362 nt
Filed under: Riemerella sp. IPDH 98/90
Lineage: Bacteria; Pseudomonadati; Bacteroidota; Flavobacteriia; Flavobacteriales; Weeksellaceae
Description: bacterial SSU rRNA
Rfam family: Bacterial small subunit ribosomal RNA
Source: RNAcentral
AGGAUGAACGCUAGCGGGAGGCCUAACACAUGCAAGCCGAGCGGUAGAGAGUAGCUUGCUACUCUUGAGAGCGGCGUACGGGUGCGUAACACGUGUGCAACCUGCCUUUAUCUGGAGGAUAGCCUUUCGAAAGGAAGAUUAAUACUCCAUAAUAUAUUGAAUGGCAUCAUUUAAUAUUGAAAACUCCGGUGGAUAAAGAUGGGCACGCGCAAGAUUAGAUAGUUGGUGAGGUAACGGCUCACCAAGUCAAUGAUCUUUAGGGGGCCUGAGAGGGUGAUCCCCCACACUGGUACUGAGACACGGACCAGACUCCUACGGGAGGCAGCAGUGAGGAAUAUUGGACAAUGGGUGAGAGCCUGAUCCAGCCAUCCCGCGUGAAGGACGACGGACCUAUGGUUUGUAAACUUCUUUUGUAUAGGGAUAAACCUACCCUCGUGAGGGUAGCUGAAGGUACUAUACGAAUAAGCACCGGCUAACUCCGUGCCAGCAGCCGCGGUAAUACGGAGGGUGCAAGCGUUAUCCGGAUUUAUUGGGUUUAAAGGGUCCGUAGGCGGGCUUGUAAGUCAGUGGUGAAAGCCUAUAGCUUAACUAUAGAACUGCCAUUGAUACUGCGAGUCUUGAGUGUAGUUGAGGUAGCUGGAAUGAGUAGUGUAGCGGUGAAAUGCAUAGAUAUUACUCAGAACACCAAUUGCGAAGGCAGGUUACCAAGUUACAACUGACGCUGAGGGACGAAAGCGUGGGGAGCGAACAGGAUUAGAUACCCUGGUAGUCCACGCCGUAAACGAUGCUAACUCGUUUUUGGGCUUUCGAGUUCAGAGACCAAGCGAAAGUGAUAAGUUUAGCCACCUGGGGAGUACGACCGCAAGGUUUGAAACUCAAAGGAAUUGACGGGGGCCCGCACAAGCGGUGGAUCAUGUGGUUUAAUUCGAUGAUACGCGAGGAACCUUACCAAGGCUUAAAUGGGAAUUGACAGGUUUAGAAAUAGACUUUUCUUCGGACAAUUUUCAAGGUGCUGCAUGGUUGUCGUCAGCUCGUGCCGUGAGGUGUUAGGUUAAGUCCUGCAACGAGCGCAACCCCUGUCACUAGUUGCCAUCAUUAAGUUGGGGACUCUAGUGAGACUGCCUACGCAAGUAGAGAGGAAGGUGGGGAUGACGUCAAAUCAUCACGGCCCUUACGCCUUGGGCUACACACGUGAUACAAUGGCCGGUACAGAGGGCAGCUACACUGCGAAGUGAUGCGAAUCUCGAAAGCCGGUCUCAGUUCGGAUUGGAGUCUGCAACUCGACUCUAUGAAGCUGGAAUCGCUAGUAAUCGCGCAUCAGCCAUGGCGCGGUGAAUACGUUCCCGGGCCUUGUACACACCG